AUCCAACUGAAGAGUCCCAAAUAGGACGAAACGCGCGUUCUGGAU
This 45-nucleotide non-coding RNA is filed under the name Schistosoma margrebowiei. Lineage: Eukaryota; Metazoa; Platyhelminthes; Trematoda; Strigeidida; Schistosomatidae. The record is from RNAcentral.